AUACGGAGGACGCGAGCGUUAUCCGGAUUCAUUGGGUUUAGAGGGUGCGCAGGCGGCCGUGCAAGUCAGCGGUGAAAGCCCGGGGCUCAACCCCGGAAGUGCCGUUGAUACUGCAUGGCUGGAAUGCGGUCGAGGCGGGCGGAACGUGGCGUGUAGCGGGGGAAUGCGUAGAUAUGCCACAGAACGCCGAUAGCGGAGGCAGCUCGCCAGGCCUGCAUUGACGCUCGGGCACGAAAGCGUGGGGAUCGAACAGGAUUAGAUACCCUGGUAGUCCACGCCGUAAACGAUGGGCGCUCGUCGUCGGCGGCAGACAGUCGGCGGCCAAGCGAAAGCGAUAAGCGCCCCACCUGGGGAGUACGGUCGCAAGGCUGAAACUCAAAUGAAUUGGCGGGG
RNAcentral lists this ribosomal RNA (393 nucleotides) under uncultured bacterium. RNAcentral describes it as "partial 16S ribosomal RNA". It matches the Rfam family "Bacterial small subunit ribosomal RNA", at positions 523 to 918 of the family's 1533-position model. The record is from RNAcentral.